AACUGACUGUCUUAGAGAGUUCUUCAUAGAGUGCGUAUAUCAAGGCGAGCAACAGCAUAUCGCUUCUGACCCAAGCCAAGUGGUUGUCGACGAUAGAGGGGAGGAUGGUCCCUGGCGCUGCUCGUUGCCCCACCCGUGGAUAUUCCGGUCUAACCAAACAAGUAUCGCCUCUGUCGGUCGGUAUCUCGACCCGUAGAUCGGAUCGCGAUCGAUAGUUACGCCAAUGGGUUGAAACGAGGCAGCGGAGAGAGAAAGAGAAAGGAGAAGAAGAGAGGAGAGCGGCGGCCGAUGGCGCGGCAGAUACGCGCCAGAUGACACCUGGAAGAAAAGACGCUUAAACACAGACUCCUUUCACUUCCUAAACACCUCAAAAUUCGCAAGUACAUGAACAUCGGUAUCUCGUUGAUUUUUUAAUCGUCUCAAUAACGUUUACGUAUACCGUUGCCAGAGAAGAAGAAGAAGAAGAAGAAGAAGAAGAAGAAUAAGAAGCGAAAUUUGGACGAAGAAAACCGAUAGAGUGGCAGAUUGUACGGAGAGGCGUGCAGUGGAAGAUUGAAAUUAAUCAGCUCUUGGACGGAUCAUUAUUUCUAUUAUCCUGCGUUUCGCUCUCAGCAAGUUUCACAGCGAAGGACAGCGGACUUUCUCAAAUUUCACGUGUAUUAUUUACUCAAUUGGUCACGGUUCUUCCCUCUCGCUGGCCUUCUUAAUAGACGGCCAGAUGGAGUUAGUCAAUGCCUAAUGAAUUACUUAUCGCUGAGGGAGGAUCGGGGCAGCGAGAAAAGGGCGAGGGAGAUUUGAUUAAUGAUUAUAGUUGUUCGGUUAACAUCUGAGAUUCCGCUUUUUUCUCCCCUGCUGUAUUAUUGGCUUCUACUGUAAACUUAUUAACCUUACGUUUUCAUCCGUCCUUUCUUUUGUAUGUUUUCUUUGUGAAUGAUUAUAUAUGGGAGGCAGGCUCGGGUAAAUUUGAUUUCUAAUACAAAUAAAAAAUAACUACUCGAAAGAGGGGAUCGUUCGUUACUUUUAACUGAAGAAACGACAGAGGGAAAAAUAUCAAUCGUUUUAUAGCGAGCUAUUUAAUAGCGACAUAA
Molecule: long non-coding RNA, 1088 nt
Organism: Bombus terrestris (buff-tailed bumblebee)
Lineage: Eukaryota; Metazoa; Arthropoda; Insecta; Hymenoptera; Apidae
Exons: 3
Source: RefSeq, a predicted model, not a curated record